This 24-nucleotide non-coding RNA is filed under the name Arabidopsis thaliana (thale cress). Lineage: Eukaryota; Viridiplantae; Streptophyta; Magnoliopsida; Brassicales; Brassicaceae. The record is from RNAcentral.
CUGUUGAGGCUUUGGCGGAUUCGA